RNAcentral lists this small RNA (606 nucleotides) under Pongo abelii (Sumatran orangutan). Its description in RNAcentral is "retained intron". Lineage: Eukaryota; Metazoa; Chordata; Mammalia; Primates; Hominidae. The record is from RNAcentral.
UGGGGGUGGGGUGGCAGGGCUGGUGCAGGUUGGUGACAGCCGCCUACAACUACUUCCAUGUGACCAACUUCUUCUGGAUGUUCGGCGAGGGCUGCUACCUGCACACAGCCAUCGUGCUCACCUACUCCACCGACCGGCUGCGCAAGUGGAUGUUCAUCUGCAUCGGCUGGGGUGAGCUGGGCAGCCACCUCCCCAGCCUGGGCAGUGGCGGCCGCCGGGCUGCCCUCUCCUCCAGACUCAGGCCAGCGGGCUGCGGGGCCUGAGGGAUGGAGGUCGGGUUGGGGCGGUAAGGUGUGCACCAUAGCCCUCUGCUCCUCUUGGGGGGGGGGGGAAGUAGAAGAACCUUGAAGGAGGUGUGUGAGUUUGAGAUCCACCCGGGGUAACCCCAGAACCCCUGGAGCCUGGGCUGCACUGGAGUUCUCCAGGCCCACAUCCCCCAGCCCCUGCUGAGGGCUCUGUGACAGCCCAUCUCUCCCCCAGGUGUGCCCUUCCCCAUCAUUGUGGCCUGGGCUAUUGGGAAGCUGUACUACGACAAUGAGAAGUGCUGGUUUGGCAAAAGGCCUGGGGUGUACACCGACUACAUCUACCAGGGCCCCAUGAUCCUGG